GGCGAACGCUAGCGGCGUGCCUUAAGCAUGCAAGUCGAGCGAGACCUUCGGGUCUAGCGGCGGACGGGUGAGUAACGCGUGGGAACGUGCCCUUCUCUACGGAAUAGCCCCGGGAAACUGGGAGUAAUACCGUAUACGCCCUUUGGGGGAAAGAUUUAUCGGAGAAGGAUCGGCCCGCGUUGGAUUAGGUAGUUGGUGGGGUAAUGGCCCACCAAGCCGACGAUCCAUAGCUGGUUUGAGAGGAUGAUCAGCCACACUGGGACUGAGACACGGCCCAGACUCCUACGGGAGGCAGCAGUGGGGAAUCUUAGACAAUGGGGGCAACCCUGAUCUAGCCAUGCCGCGUGAGUGAUGAAGGCCUUAGGGUUGUAAAGCUCUUUCAGCUGGGAAGAUAAUGACGGUACCAGCAGAAGAAGCCCCGGCUAACUCCGUGCCAGCCGCCGCAGUAA
RNAcentral lists this ribosomal RNA (449 nucleotides) under uncultured bacterium. RNAcentral's name for it is "partial 16S ribosomal RNA". It matches the Rfam family "Bacterial small subunit ribosomal RNA", at positions 28 to 523 of the family's 1533-position model. The record is from RNAcentral.